UACGUAGGGGGCAAGCGUUGUCCGGAAUCAUUGGGCGUAAAGCGCGUGUAGGCGGCCCGGUAAGUCCGCUGUGAAAGUCGGGGGCUCAACCCUCGAAUGCCGGUGGAUACUGUCGGGCUAGAGUGCGGGAGAGGCGAGUGGAAUUCCUGGUGUAGCGGUGAAAUGCGCAGAUAUCAGGAGGAACACCAAUUGCGAAGGCAGCUCGCUAGAACGUAACUGACGCUGAGACGCGAAAGCGUGGGGAGCAAACAGG
Molecule: ribosomal RNA, 253 nt
Filed under: uncultured bacterium
Lineage: Bacteria
Description: partial 16S ribosomal RNA
Rfam family: Bacterial small subunit ribosomal RNA
Source: RNAcentral